RNAcentral lists this ribosomal RNA (492 nucleotides) under uncultured bacterium. RNAcentral's name for it is "partial 16S ribosomal RNA". It matches the Rfam family "Bacterial small subunit ribosomal RNA", at positions 29 to 507 of the family's 1533-position model. The record is from RNAcentral.
AGUGAACGCUGGCGGUAGGCCUAACACAUGCAAGUCGAACGGCAGCACAGUAAGAGCUUGCUCUUACGGGUGGCGAGUGGCGGACGGGUGAGGAAUACAUCGGAAUCUACUUUUUCGUGGGGGAUAACGUAGGGAAACUUACGCUAAUACCGCAUACGACCUACGGGUGAAAGCAGGGGAUCUUCGGACCUUGCGCGAUUGAAUGAGCCGAUGUCGGAUUAGCUAGUUGGCGGGGUAAAGGCCCACCAAGGCGACGAUCCGUAGCUGGUCUGAGAGGAUGAUCAGCCACACUGGAACUGAGACACGGUCCAGACUCCUACGGGACGCGGCAGUGGGGAAUAUUGGACAAUGGGCGCAAGCCUGAUCCAGCCAUACCGCGUGGGUGAAGAAGGCCUUCGGGUUGUAAAGCCCUUUUGUUGGGAAAGAAAAGCAGCAGGUUAAUACCCCGCUGUUCUGACGGUACCCAAAGAAUAAGCACCGGCUAACUUCGUG